CCUACGGGAGGCAGCAGUGAGGAAUAUUGGGCAAUGGAGGCAACUCUGACCCAGCCAUGCCGCGUGAGUGAAGAAGGUUCUCGGAAUGUUAAGCUCUUUCGGACGUGACGAUGAUGACGGUAGCAUCUAAAGAAGCCCCGGUCAACUUCGUGCCAGCAGCCGCGGUAAUACGGAGGGAGCACGCGUUGUUCGGAAUUACUGGGCGUAAAGGGAGUGUAGGCGGUUUAGUAAGAUAGUGGUGAAAUCCCAGAGCUUAACUUUGGAAGUGCCAUUAUAACUAGUAGACUAGAAUUACAGAGAGGAUAGUGGAAUACCCAGUGUAGAGGUGAAAUUCGUAGAUAUUGCGUAGAACACCAGUGGCGAAGGCAACUAUCUGGCUGUACAUUGACGCUGAGGCUCGAAAGCAUGGGGAUCAAACAGGAUUAGAUACCCUUGUAGUC
RNAcentral lists this ribosomal RNA (440 nucleotides) under uncultured bacterium. RNAcentral's name for it is "partial 16S ribosomal RNA". It matches the Rfam family "Bacterial small subunit ribosomal RNA", at positions 338 to 795 of the family's 1533-position model. The record is from RNAcentral.